Molecule: ribosomal RNA, 497 nt
Filed under: uncultured bacterium
Lineage: Bacteria
Description: partial 16S ribosomal RNA
Rfam family: Bacterial small subunit ribosomal RNA
Source: RNAcentral
GAUGAACGCUGGCGGCGUGCCUAAUACAUGCAAGUCGAGCGAACAGAUGAGGAGCUUGCUCCUCUGACGUUAGCGGCGGACGGGUGAGUAACACGUGGAUAACCUACCUAUAAGACUGGGAUAACUUCGGGAAACCGGAGCUAAUACCGGAUAAUAUAUUGAACCGCAUGGUUCAAUAGUGAAAGACGGUUUUGCUGUCACUUAUAGAUGGAUCCGCGCCGCAUUAGCUAGUUGGUAAGGUAACGGCUUACCAAGGCAACGAUGCGUAGCCGACCUGAGAGGGUGAUCGGCCACACUGGAACUGAGACACGGUCCAGACUCCUACGGGAGGCAGCAGUAGGGAAUCUUACGCAAUGGGCGAAAGCCUGACGGAGCAAAGCCGCGUGAGUGAUGAAGGUCUUCGGAUCGUAAAACUCUGUUAUUAGGGAAGAACAAAUGUGUAAGUAACUAUGCACGUCUUGACGGUACCUAAUCAGAAAGCCACGGCUAACUACGUG